GCGACCCCAGGGUAGGCCGGAAUACCCCGUUAAGUUUAACCUUAUCAA
This 48-nucleotide ribosomal RNA is filed under the name Citrus natsudaidai. RNAcentral's name for it is "partial 28S ribosomal RNA". The record is from RNAcentral. Lineage: Eukaryota; Viridiplantae; Streptophyta; Magnoliopsida; Sapindales; Rutaceae.